UACGUAGGGUGCGAGCGUUGUCCGGAAUUAUUGGGCGUAAAGGGCUCGUAGGCGGUUUGUCGCGUCGGGAGUGAAAACACGGGGCUUAACCCCGUGCCUGCUUCCGAUACGGGCAGACUAGAGGUAUGCAGGGGAGAACGGAAUUCCUGGUGUAGCGGUGAAAUGCGCAGAUAUCGGGAGGAACACCGGUGGCGAAGGCGGUUCUCUGGGCAUUACCUGACGCUGAGGAGCGAAAGUGUGGGGAGCAAACAGG
RNAcentral lists this ribosomal RNA (253 nucleotides) under uncultured bacterium. RNAcentral describes it as "partial 16S ribosomal RNA". It matches the Rfam family "Bacterial small subunit ribosomal RNA", at positions 524 to 776 of the family's 1533-position model. The record is from RNAcentral.